CGGGGCCGUAGCUCAGAUGGGAGAGCGCGUCGUUCGCAAUGACGAGGUCAGGGGUUCGAUCCCCCUCGGCUCC
Molecule: transfer RNA, 73 nt
Filed under: Novosphingobium sp. MBES04
Lineage: Bacteria; Pseudomonadati; Pseudomonadota; Alphaproteobacteria; Sphingomonadales; Sphingomonadaceae
Description: tRNA-Ala
Rfam family: tRNA
About the family: Transfer RNA (tRNA) molecules are approximately 80 nucleotides in length. Their secondary structure includes four short double-helical elements and three loops (D, anti-codon, and T loops).
Source: RNAcentral